Molecule: long non-coding RNA, 588 nt
Organism: Musa acuminata AAA Group (dessert banana)
Lineage: Eukaryota; Viridiplantae; Streptophyta; Magnoliopsida; Zingiberales; Musaceae
Exons: 2
Source: RefSeq, a predicted model, not a curated record
CAGAACCAUCAAGCAGUGAAUUGUUGGCAAAGGGGUGUUUUUGUUGCUGCCUCACAUCUCAGAAGCCGAGAGCGUAAAUAUAAUGAGUUACUCAACCCCUCUUAUUCUAUUUUAGUUUACCUGACAAGAACAGAGUCCCUGACUGCAGCUCGCGUGCUAAUCACGUGAACGAGAAGACCGCUACGCAAAUGAGAAACCCUAAUUUUCCCUCGAUUACUUGAGCCCGACGGGUUCAGAGCAGUGCGCGCUGCCUGGCGGCGAUGAUAGCGGCGAUUCGGACGUCGCCAAGCCCUUUGAUCUGUAGGGAAUCUCUUGGUGGACUUGUCUAAUGUUCUGCUUGCUGCGCCGAUUUAACGAAGCCCUCGCUGCUGCUUGCGUUAGAUCUAUUUGCCGCCGAUUUGAAUCCUGCUUUGAGGAAGUAGGAAUUUUGCGACUGCAGCAUGCUUAAAGCUGUGAUAAAUUUCUCCCCUUCUUAAGUUUGUCAAAGCAACCAGUCGCCUUUCUUUGAAUUGUUCUAAGUUUCUCCCCCUGUAGAAUUCACAUGGGAAUUGCUAAUUCAAUUUCUUAGUAGAAGACAAUGUUCUCAUA